Molecule: unclassified non-coding RNA, 246 nt
Filed under: Hevea brasiliensis (rubber tree)
Lineage: Eukaryota; Viridiplantae; Streptophyta; Magnoliopsida; Malpighiales; Euphorbiaceae
Source: RNAcentral
AAAAAUUCUCCUGGGUAUCAAGCUCCACAUUCUGUGGAACAACCCAAGGAACAGUAUCCACAACAGCAGCAGCAACCCAGACAAUCACGUGGUCCAAACAAUGCUGUUCGUGAUGAUUCAUAUGCCCGAGGACGUGGUCGUGGUAGAGGGAGAGGGCGAAACUGGGGCAGGGGUGGAUAUGGGUAUGGAAAUUAUCAGGGAAACUAUCAGGGGAAUCAUCAAGGAAACUAUCAAGAUAAUGGUGGU